RNAcentral lists this ribosomal RNA (586 nucleotides) under uncultured Gammaproteobacteria bacterium. Its description in RNAcentral is "bacterial SSU rRNA". It matches the Rfam family "Bacterial small subunit ribosomal RNA", at positions 338 to 916 of the family's 1533-position model. The record is from RNAcentral. Lineage: Bacteria; Pseudomonadati; Pseudomonadota; Gammaproteobacteria.
CCUACGGGAGGCAGCAGUGGGGAAUAUUGCACAAUGGGGGCAACCCUGAUGCAGCCAUGCCGCGUGUGUGAAGAAGGCCUUCGGGUUGUAAAGCACUUUCAGUUGUGAGGAAAGGUUAGUAGUUAAUACCUGCUAGCUGUGACGUUAACAACAGAAGAAGCACCGGCUAACUCCGUGCCAGCAGCCGCGGUAAUACGGAGGGUGCGAGCGUUAAUCGGAAUUACUGGGCGUAAAGCGCACGCAGGCGGUCUGUUAAGCUAGAUGUGAAAGCCCCGCGCUCAACGUGGGAGGGUCAUUUAGAACUGGCAGACUAGAGUCUUGGAGAGGGGAGUGGAAUUCCAGGUGUAGCGGUGAAAUGCGUAGAGAUCUGGAGGAACAUCAAUGGCGAAGGCAACUCCCUGGCCAAAGACUGACGCUCAUGUGCGAAAGUGUGGGUAGCGAACAGGAUUAGAUACCCUGGUAGUCCACACCGUAAACGCUGUCUACUAGCUGUUUGUGGAUUUAAUCCGUGAGUAGCGAAGCUAACGCGAUAAGUAGACCGCCUGGGGAGUACGGCCGCAAGGUUAAAACUCAAAUGAAUUGACGG